ACAGGUUGGUCUACCGGUGAGUGGAAAGAAUGUGAAUGGAAAGAAUGCUUCACCAGCUUUGGAACUGCUAGAUUUGGAACCUCAAUGACGUUCAACACAGAAAUAAAGGAAGAUUCGAGAAAGAUAAGAAUGUAUUUUUUAACAAAGAAAGCAUAGACAACUCAGAAAUGGCAAGCAAAGGUCAAUUUUCAGUAAGUGAUUCUUCUCUAAAGCAGGAGAUAGAGUAACUUGUCUGAUAGAAUAAGCCUCCCAGUACUCUGUACCCAAGUGGCAGAUACAGGGGGCUGGCAACACAAAUUUUGAAAGACACCAUUCAGAUCUUCAUCAAAUCCUUCAAAGAAACUUCAUAGUGGGUUGUGAGGAAAGAAGAACAACAAAGCAUGGGCCAAAAACUAAAAGAGAUGAAACAGGAGAACAAAUGGUCAUUUAAAAUGACGGUGAAAAGCCAGAACAGUGGAGUGUAUGUAAGAUCUUGUGACAGAACAUGUGUUGUAACCACCCUUACAAACAGUCUAGAAAAGGGCUGUACAGAAGAAAAAAACACUUGUAGAGGACACGAGAGCGUGGGAUGGAUGGAGAAGAUAUUCAGGGUGACCCAACAGUGCAGAUUGCUUCUUUCUCCUGUAUACAAGAAAUCAUGGAUUUCACCUCAUUGUUCCCUUGAGCUUCAUAGAAGGUUCUCCUAUUUUUCCUGUGCAUCAGGCAUUAUCAAUAUGAAUGAGUUUAGUUACAGAGGCAGGACAUCCAGGGCAUGCUGAAGAACAUGAAGCAAUAUGACAAACUCAAGCAUGAAAUAUAAAACGGCUGAAGCAUAUCAGAGCAUGGGAAAAUAACUCCUGAUGAAGUUCUGGAUUGCAUUGUUACAGGGAGAAAAAGAAAUUCAUAGCCCAUCACCUUCCAACGAUGACCAAACCCACAGUUUAUAUUUCUCUUAAGUUCCACCAGGUUGAUUAAGCCCUGGAUAAAACAGGUAUCAAGCUGCCAAACACGUUACUAUUAGG
Molecule: long non-coding RNA, 1001 nt
Filed under: Gallus gallus (chicken)
Lineage: Eukaryota; Metazoa; Chordata; Aves; Galliformes; Phasianidae
Description: long non-coding RNA NONGGAT008821
Source: RNAcentral